GACGAACCGUGCGAACGUUAUUCGGAAUCACUGGGCUUAAAGCGCGUGUAGGCGGCCCGGAACGUCCGUCGCUGAAAUCCCCCGGCUCAACCGGGGAAGGGGCGGGGAUACGGCCGGGCUGGAGGGGGGUAGGGGGAUCGGGAACUUCCGGUGGAGCGGUGAAAUGCGUUGAGAUCGGAAGGAACGCCCGUGGCGAAAGCGCGGUCCUGGACCCCGCCUGACGCUGAGACGCGAAAGCCAGGGGAGCGAACGGG
RNAcentral lists this ribosomal RNA (254 nucleotides) under uncultured bacterium. RNAcentral describes it as "partial 16S ribosomal RNA". It matches the Rfam family "Bacterial small subunit ribosomal RNA", at positions 524 to 776 of the family's 1533-position model. The record is from RNAcentral. RNAcentral also lists the same sequence under 1 other name.